GUGCUUGACUCGGCAGCAGCACAUAUACUAAAGUUGGAAUGAUACAGACGAGAUUGGCCUGGCCCCUGCGCAAGGGUGACACAAAUUCCUGAAGCAUUCCAUAUUUCC
Molecule: small nuclear RNA, 108 nt
Organism: Myotis lucifugus (little brown bat)
Lineage: Eukaryota; Metazoa; Chordata; Mammalia; Chiroptera; Vespertilionidae
Source: Ensembl